RNAcentral lists this transfer RNA (72 nucleotides) under Ovis aries (sheep). It matches the Rfam family "tRNA". From Rfam's summary of the family: Transfer RNA (tRNA) molecules are approximately 80 nucleotides in length. Their secondary structure includes four short double-helical elements and three loops (D, anti-codon, and T loops). Lineage: Eukaryota; Metazoa; Chordata; Mammalia; Artiodactyla; Bovidae. The record is from Rfam by way of RNAcentral.
UCCCUGGUGGUCCAGUGGUUAAGAAUCUGCCUGCCAAUGCAAGGGGCCCAGGUUCAACCCCUGGCCUGGGAG